Long non-coding RNA from Triticum dicoccoides, 5209 nucleotides. RefSeq lists it as uncharacterized. Lineage: Eukaryota; Viridiplantae; Streptophyta; Magnoliopsida; Poales; Poaceae. The record is from RefSeq and is a predicted model, not a curated record. The transcript has 7 exons.
GUUACGUUCUGCUGGCCCCACACAACCGCUUACCCCCUGCAGCCUUAUCUUCUCACGCAAACGCCCCCAGCCACCCAUUCACACCCAUCCCUUCUUCCUUCUUCCUUCUUCCAGAUAGCUCCUGCCCACCACCAGCGCCUCCCUUCUACUUCUUUUUGCUGUUGCUAGCUGCUGCAACUCCGGCCAGCAUGCUUCCAGGCUGCCGUCAGGUCACAUUACAACCAAAAAUUGCACUCGUUUUUGUUGUUGUUGCUACUCCAAGGGGGUGCUACGACAGCUAUUUUUGAGCACGCCAUGAGCUGCGGUAAUAGGACGGCUCCCGGGGGUGGCAUUCGUGGCCAUGGCAAGGUGGUGGCCACCUGGCCGGAGCUGUAGCGAUCAGGACGUUGCUUUGCGAGAGGCAGUCUCAAGCACUGCAAGCCGCAUUUCUGGAGUGAUACAACUGGUGACCUGCAGUGCUGGAAGCGGCAUACGACGAUGCUACAACCGGUGUGCGGCGGUGCUGCGACCGGCGGCGACGGUCGUCAAUGAUUUCAGCGUAAGUGGGAAAUGCUUCAACCAGCGUAGGAAAAGCUUCAACCGGUGGUGGAAAAAGCUUCAACCGGUGUGACGAAAAAGUUUCGACCCGUGGAAGAAAGCUUCAACUGGUAGCGCAAAAGCUUCAAGCGACGGUGGAAAAAGCUUCAAGCGGCAUGGAGGGAAAAGCUUCAACCUGUGAAAAAAGCUACAACCAUAGUGUGGGGAGCUGCAACCGUGAAAUAUUUUUGCUGGAACCAGUGACCGCGGCGAGCGAGACGGUCACUGCGGCGAGCACGACGGUCACCACGGCGAGCUGGAAACCAUGGCUAGGACUGUGGUCGGGGGGUGGGGGGUGGAGGGGUGCUGCAACCCGCGUCUCUGUGUGCUGGAACUGCUACUAUGGCGAGCUGCAAGGUUGGAUCGGUGCUUUUUUGCUGGAACCGUGGCUGCCCGGCAAGGAUGGCAAGCGGCGGUGAGCCGGUGAGCUUCGCGGCCGGCCGUCUCACUCGGGGUAAUCGGCGGGAUCGUUGGGGUGGUUACUAUGGGCGCCGCCGGGACGGGAGGAGAAGUGGAAGACGAGGGACGGGGAAGAAGAGGAUGCGGAGGCCAGAUCGGACGGCUGCGCUUCGCUGCAUCGGGCGGCUGGGGCUGGACCGGCGCAAUUAUUGGGCCGGCGCACCGGUGCCCAGUACUCGCCCUGUACAUGGCCAUGUGUGUGGCCGGCUGGGUUGUGUCCAGUAAUGGCCGGCCCUUGUUUAAUUAGGCUAGGUAGUAUUAGUUUAGUACUAAUUUAGCCCAUUAGCAAAUGGCAAGCGGACCCCAGGCUAGUUAAUCUAAUUAACAAGAUUAGUUUCUUUGCUGCCUAUGGCAUGUGGGCCACCGCCUCCCCUUUUGGCUAGUCAAAUUGACUUGGUCAAUUCGGAUUAAACUAAUUAUAAUAAUUCAUCCCCAGUGUCAUGCUACAGUGACCUUACCCUAAUGGUGCCAUGUCAUCAUGUUUAACUAAGCCAAAUUUCCAUUUGAUAAAAAUCAAAGCCAUUUUCAAAUUUAUAAUAACACCAAAUAAAAUAUUUCUUCAAACCAAAAACUAAAAUGUUCGAGAUGUUGCAAGUAUUCACUAAGUAAUUGUCUUGUAGAAACCAGCAUCUUUUGAAUUUUUAAAAUGGCCUUAACCUAUUUAAAAUAGGGCUAGCAGCAUUAAAUAUACGCACAUAAAUUUAAAACUAAAUUUGAACAACUCUUUUGGCCCCAAACUUUUUGUGCCAGCCUAGACCGUAGCCAAGUAUUUUUGUGGUAAUAUCGCAUCCAACAAAAAUUAAAUGGUGUCCAAAUUAAACCCUUUAAGCGUCGCGCAAAGGGCGCCUCCUCGCGUGGUCCACGUCGGCAGGAGCUAUUGUUCCGUCGAUGAAGUAUUUUCGUCUCGUUGGUCCACUUGUCUGUUGGAUAUUAGUCUAGCAUACGAGAAAGAAAGGGGAAAACUUCCCAGAUACUACGUCGCCCCCUGAGCUCCCUUUCCUACUCCAGCACGCAAGCGGUCCCCUUUCUCCCACGCCACCCCUCGGCCGCCGCCGCCGUCGCCUCUCCCAUCCCAGAUCCUUCUGCUCCGCGGCGCCCCAGGUCCCCUUUCUAUUUCCCGUCGAUCUGCGGAGGCUCCUUCCUCGGCUACUUCUUCAAGCGAUGACCACAACAAGGCAUGGCUGCGGGAGACGAAGGAGGGCGUGUCCGGAUGUGGUAGCCGCAGGAGGAAGGGACGGGGAGAGAAACAAGUAGGAUGACGAGACCGUGGGCCGCGAAGGUGGAUGGGUGGCAGACAUGGCCUCUCCCUCAUCUCCGUCUCUGUCGUUUCUUCCUCUGAUCUCUUCAAUUAGCCCCAGUUGUCAUCCAGAUCCGGAAUAUAUAUUAGAUCUCCGAGGUUGAACUUGCAAAAGAUGCCGCUGAAUGAGUGGCACUUGUUUGAACACUGGCCAGAACCCGGCGUCGAUGACGACAAGAAGAAAAGCUUCUUUGGCCCAGUGUGUCUUCGGUUGUAUCCUUGAAUUAUUUGGGUUCAGUGACCGAAGGUAAUCUCAUAUAAUAGAAAUAUUCUAUUUAUGCUAGAUUAUUUGACCUGUUCAUUUUAGGUUCAUGUGUUUGGUUUGGAUGGCUAUUGAUGAGUCAAAAAACACAAGCUCCGUACUCUUGUAAUGCUUUCUGUUGUGCACUUGAGACCCUAGAGUAUGUAAUGAAAUUCAUGAUGUAGCUACAAACAUGCACUACUUGCAAUCGCAGUCUGACCAGUGCAUCUUUAUCUUCAUCCGUUUUCAUCGAUAUUCUACUCAAGCGAUCCUGGAGGUUAAGCACUAAACUGUACGCCGAAGACACUCACGGAUAUGGUGUGGAGAGGCGGUACAUUAUUUUGGCAAUGAUGCAAAGGUGGCACAUGAAGGCAUGGGUAACAAUAUAUGAUGUAAACAUUAGCUCAUGUUGAAUGGAUGGUAAACACAAGGCACGAGUGACCCCGGACCGGAGGCUGUACCAAUCAUGUUUAUAGCGCUACAACCUGGAAUCACGUCCACUAUUUAUUAUCUUGGUAAUUCACUGCAUAUGAAGAAAGGACAACCAUUCAUGGGUAUGUAUGCCCUAAUCUGUUUGUGCUCCUUGCAAGGAAAUUCUGUUAAACAAUCUUAUGUCGUCGAACAUUUCGCUUUUUAGUCCAAUCUGAAGUACCAGUACAAAUGGUACAUUAACUUUUAGAUGUUUAUAUAUUCAUUUUCCGUGUUCUCUGAAGUCUGAACAUUACUUGAUUUAUCGAUUGGAUCAAAAUGGUUCUAAUGCAUUUUCAUCUUAAUUGCUUCUUGCUUCAGUUUUAAAGCAGCCUUAUAAUGCAGAUCAUUUUAGAUGGAUAUAUAACGACAGGUCAAUGAUUACACAAUGAGUAAACGGUAGACCUGGUCUCUCCCUUCUUCCUUAAAUUGCGUCUAGAUUUUCUAAAUUGUUUGUAGUUUUGACUUCCACUUGUGACUUGUCCAUGAAGGAUGCUUAAAUGGUCUAAUGGCCUGAUAUUGCCAAAGGAUCCCCUAGAUAUAACCACCCCAAGGUACUUCUUUGAGACAAUGACCUACAAGUGUUUAUGAGCCAUGCAUUCGUAUUAUGAAUUGGAAGAACAUCAAUCAGCAAGUAUUUGUGGCUAAUGUCUCCUAGAUGAGAUAAUUUCCCCCAAACUGUGUGUGAUCCAUUGCUCUAGGUAGCAACAUCAUGGAACCGUAGUGUUAAUUUUUAUGCCCUACAUUCUACCGCAAAUACAUUUGGAUUUGCAUAUUUUGAGUCCUGCUACUACUAAUUUGACUUAUGAUGUCCAUGGUUUAGGAUGAUUAGUCGCAGCUCACUUCUAUCAUGAGGUAUGUGUUGUGUUCUCUCGGUUGGCUACUUUUACAUUAUUAUAGGAUUUAAGGCACACAUGAUAUAUUGAACGUCAUGAAGCAAGAUAUAUUUCCAUUUCUUCAGUUUGUAAUAAUUGAUGGAAAGUUACGUCCAGUAAUUAGAAUGAUUAUUUCUUGACCGUUGUUCUCUGGAGCUCAUUAUUUAGUCUUUUUCUCUUAGAUUUUUGACUAAUCUGGCUGCUCUGGUCCUCCAGUUUCUUAUUUGCAGGUGAUGAUCUUGCUGCAACUUGCUUGCUGCCUUGGUUUACAGUGAGCUAGCUGCUGCAGCCCUUUUGUUUCUUUAGAGGACACAGAUGACAGAAAUGCCGCCAUGGAAUCAGGCAACCAAUAACCAGAGCGCAGCUGUCAACUCAUUUUAUUCAUUGGCCAGACUACGAAGCAUGGAAAGAGCAUCCAGGAGGAAAUAAUAUGCGUACACCAUGAUGGACACUGAGAAAUCUGACAUACAGUUAUGGCGUUGUGCGGUUGGAGGUGCUAAUAGGUAGUGCACAUGUGCAACAAAUAUAACUGGGAGGUGAUCUCAUAACAUGGGCAAAAAAUUACAUCAGGGACAAUUCUCUGGGCCCAGGGAUCCUCGACACUAAUCUGGAUUUGGAAGAUAAAGCCGCUGUCGAUCAUUGAUUUCUUGAAAAUUGCUCUGCUAUGUAGUUACCUGUCGCUGUGUGAGAGAUUGUCGGCAUGUUGUACUUAUGUUAAGCGAGUCGAAAGAUAGGGCCUGGGCGAGCUCCACAUCCUUGUCUGCUUCUGAUCAUUCUUCCAAGAAGGAUAGCUCAUGAUGUAUGUUUAUAUAAGUUCGGUUAGUGAAGGCAAUACCCGUUGUUCCCUUUACCUUGUUAUUACUUAUGGUGGGGAUUUGUGGAGUCUGCACUCAUUCUUUCAAACUGGAAUACCAGUUUUUUGUGAUGUUUAUUUCUCCAGGAUCCUAGCCCCUGUGCUCCUUUAGCUGAAGUGGAAACAUUUUUGACAAGACAAGAACAGCUCCUAUGAAUAUUAGGAAAUUGGAGUGACUUUCGUGCUUGCAGAUACACUCUCUAGGUGAACUAUGAACUUUUCUCCCUUUCUACCCCUUGACAAGGAGAUCCAGGAAGGAGGCGAGUCUCUUCCACGACGUCUCUGUCCAGGAACAUUAAGGGAGCUCCAUGUCUUGGUUUGCCGCACAUACGUUUACCACGCAGAGGAGCACAUGUGAUCCUCAUAAUAGCAAGUUUGUAAUGAAUUCUGGAACCCAUCAGGAGGUUAAAGUCAGCAAAGCAUAUUCACCUAUAGUCAAA